GCGUCAUUGAUCUGUGAGAUUUCAACAGCUGGAGAUGUUUACAAAACGUGAAAGAAAUAAAUAAAGUGACCCCUUCAAAUUCGCGGAUCGGAAAUUGAUAUUUAUCGCCAUGCAUCGAUCAACUGAUGCUGUCAGUCCAGCAUUUGCCAUUGGGCUGUCUUUAAAUUCACAAAAUCAAUUAACUAUAUUUCAACGUUCUAAAAACAAGUGAGAGCGUUGAAAUCGUGCGUAAUCAUUAACAGGUGGCAAAUAAACAAUUUGUGGAUUGGGCAAGAUCGUGGCCGGAUGAGGCUGAAGGCGUCUCGUUCAUUCAUUAAAGUACUUUUUAAAUGAGUUAAAACUGAUGGAUAAAGUGAUCGUCUUGCAAAGUCGGGACUAAGCAUACCUUUUUU
Long non-coding RNA from Drosophila grimshawi, 392 nucleotides. RefSeq lists it as uncharacterized. Lineage: Eukaryota; Metazoa; Arthropoda; Insecta; Diptera; Drosophilidae. The record is from RefSeq and is a predicted model, not a curated record. The transcript has 3 exons.